CAGCCGCCGCGGUAAUACGUAGGGUGCGAGCGUUAAUCGGAAUUACUGGGCGUAAAGCGUGCGCAGGCGGUUGUGUAAGACAGGUGUGAAAUCCCCGGGCUUAACCUGGGAACUGCGCUUGUGACUGCACAGCUAGAGUAUGGCAGAGGGGGGUGGAAUUCCACGUGUAGCAGUGAAAUGCGUAGAGAUGUGGAGGAACACCGAUGGCGAAGGCAGCCCCCUGGGCCAAUACUGACGCUCAUGCACGAAAGCGUGGGGAGCAAACAGGAUUAGAUACCCCUGUAGUCCCUGUCUCUUAUAC
This 301-nucleotide ribosomal RNA is filed under the name uncultured bacterium. RNAcentral's name for it is "partial 16S ribosomal RNA". It matches the Rfam family "Bacterial small subunit ribosomal RNA", at positions 509 to 807 of the family's 1533-position model. The record is from RNAcentral.